Molecule: long non-coding RNA, 1085 nt
Organism: Pundamilia nyererei
Lineage: Eukaryota; Metazoa; Chordata; Actinopteri; Cichliformes; Cichlidae
Exons: 2
Source: RefSeq, a predicted model, not a curated record
UGUAGCAGCAGCAUACUGAGAUUGAUUCACAGUAUGAAGCUCAAAUAACCUAAGCUGAGCUGUCAGGGCCCUGGACUCAACUGGCCUCUUCUUCCAAGAGUAUGACAUUAUUUCUUUUUCAAUCUGGAAUUCAUGGUUGUAGAAUUCACCACAGUGUAUUUAAACCCUGGAGACAAGCAGACUGCCCGGCCCCACAACAACAGAGCAGCCCAUCAGCCUGGACCCCGAACAGACGACCAGCUCCUCCUGGCUAUCUGGUCGUCUGGUCCAUGACUUCUCUUGGAAGACGGCAUCUCGUUCUUGGCUGGGGAAGAGAAACUCUGGGCCUUUUUUCUGACUAUAGCGUCGAAGCACCAGUCAGUGUAUUCCUUCAGAGCAUCCAAAUUCUCCUUGUUGUCCUCCAGGGUGUUGGACAUUAUUAUGCAGAUAUGUGUUGUUGUCUGUCAAUUUUCUGGUGUGUUUUAAGCUUCAAAAAGUGUCUGUUUAAUCUUUAUUCCCCCCAAGUCUCCAGCGUCUGACCUCACCUAGCAUUUCCGUUCCACCUAGCAUCUACCCAGGAAGACUUCUACAUUAUUAGUGCGAUUUCUCCCUCUGAAAAAUAGAGGGGGGUGGAUCGAUACAAAUAUUGAUAGUUUAUUUGUCAGGAUCUGACGGCGCCCUGACCGGUCGACCUGCCAGUGUGUGUAUAUCUGUGUGCGGGUGUAUGUGUCUCUCCUAUCGCCCUGUCUUCCCCUCCGGCUCCGCUGAGAUGUGUUAGGAGGUAACCUAGCAACAGGCUACCUCCGACCCGGAAGUGCUGUCGCCCGGAGCUGCCACACCUGCAGUCAAUCCACCAGCUGCUGCCAAUCAACUAUCAUCUUCAGCAGGGCUACUUAAUGGUGUGGCUGAGCGACAGACAGCGCUGGAGUAUUGCACUAAGCCUGGGAUUGACGGAGGAUUUACGGACACUAAGGAAGCACUUGGAGGAGAGACGGGCACUCACUACCACGCACGGGCUUACACGGAAGGAGGGACGCACUAUCACCAUUGUUGCACAUUUGAACUGUUGUCACCUUGCUGCACUGUAAAUAAAUGCACUGUCAUUA